UCACAAGCUUUUAGUGUUUAGGGACUCCCCAGGUGAAUGGGCCCUGAGAAUAGGCCAUGGCCAGAUCUGGGUGCCCCUCUGCAGCCCAGGAGACAGGCCCCUGGUCAGAGUCCUGAGCUCCGUUGGAUUCAGACCAGACCCCCUCAGCAAGAACCUACAGUUCAGACUCCAGUGGAUCCAUCCAUAGGGCUGGGGGCUCUGGCCCCACCUGCUUCCCAUUCUGCUUCUCACCUGACUGCAGGGUUGGGGAAUGGUGGAUGGCCCAAA
This 267-nucleotide long non-coding RNA is filed under the name Bos taurus (domestic cattle). RNAcentral's name for it is "long non-coding RNA NONBTAT021540". The record is from RNAcentral. Lineage: Eukaryota; Metazoa; Chordata; Mammalia; Artiodactyla; Bovidae.